RNAcentral lists this ribosomal RNA (453 nucleotides) under uncultured bacterium. RNAcentral describes it as "bacterial SSU rRNA". It matches the Rfam family "Bacterial small subunit ribosomal RNA", at positions 1 to 432 of the family's 1533-position model. The record is from RNAcentral.
GCCCAGAUUGAUCCUGGCUCAGGACGAACGCUGGCGGCGUGCCUAAUACAUGCAAGUCGAGCGCAGGAAGCAUGACGGAUCCCUUCGGGGUGACAUCAUGUGGAAUGAGCGGCGGACGGGUGAGUAACACGUGGGCAACCUGCCUGUAAGACUGGGAUAACUCCGGGAAACCGGGGCUAAUACCGGAUAACCCGUUCCACCUCAUGGUGGAGCGGUAAAAGAUGGCCUCUGGCUAUCACUUACAGAUGGGCCCGCGGCGCAUUAGCUAGUUGGUAAGGUAACGGCUUACCAAGGCGACGAUGCGUAGCCGACCUGAGAGGGUGAUCGGCCACACUGGGACUGAGACACGGCCCAGACUCCUACGGGAGGCAGCAGUAGGGAAUCUUCCGCAAUGGACGAAAGUCUGACGGAGCAACGCCGCGUGAGUGAUGAAGGUUUUCGGAUCGUAAAGCU